RNAcentral lists this ribosomal RNA (253 nucleotides) under uncultured bacterium. RNAcentral describes it as "partial 16S ribosomal RNA". It matches the Rfam family "Bacterial small subunit ribosomal RNA", at positions 524 to 776 of the family's 1533-position model. The record is from RNAcentral.
UACGUAGGGUGCGAGCGGUAAUCGGAAUUACUGGGCGUAAAGCGUGCGCAGGCGGCUUUGCAAGACAGAUGUGAAAUCCCCGGGCUCAACCUGGGAACUGCAUUUGUGACUGCAAGGCUAGAGUACGGCAGAGGGGGAUGGAAUUCCGCGUGUAGCAGUGAAAUGCGUAGAUAUGCGGAGGAACACCAAUGGCGAAGGCAAUCCCCUGGGCCUGUACUGACGCUCAUGCACGAAAGCGUGGGGGGCAAACAGG